Molecule: ribosomal RNA, 133 nt
Organism: Pteropus vampyrus (large flying fox)
Lineage: Eukaryota; Metazoa; Chordata; Mammalia; Chiroptera; Pteropodidae
Source: Ensembl
AUCUACAGCCACGCUACCUCGAACAAGUCUGAUCCCAUCAGAUCUAAGCUAAGCAGGGUCGGAAGCUAAGCAGGGUUGGGCCUGGUUAGUACUUGGAUGAGAGACCACCUAGGAAGACCAGGUGCUGUAGGUG